This 167-nucleotide unclassified non-coding RNA is filed under the name uncultured Thelebolus. RNAcentral's name for it is "sequence contains ITS1". The record is from RNAcentral. Lineage: Eukaryota; Fungi; Ascomycota; Leotiomycetes; Thelebolales; Thelebolaceae.
CCGAAGUACAGGCCCUCUCGAGGGCUAAACUUCCACCCUUUGUUUAUUAUACUAUGUUGCUUUGGCGGAUCGCCCUUGGGCCACCGGCUUCGGCUGGUGCGUGUCCGCCAGAGACCUCAAACCCAAACCAUUAUACGUAAUUGUCUGAAAACAAGUUUAAAUUAUUA